Molecule: ribosomal RNA, 494 nt
Filed under: uncultured bacterium
Lineage: Bacteria
Description: partial 16S ribosomal RNA
Rfam family: Bacterial small subunit ribosomal RNA
Source: RNAcentral
GACGAACGCUGGCGGCGUGCUUAACACAUGCAGGUCGAACGGAAAGGCCUGCUUUCCCUUGUGGAUUGCGGGUGCUCGAGUGGCGAACGGGUGAGUAACACGUGAGUGAUCUGCCCCCAACUUGGGUAUAAGCCUGGGAAACUGGGUCUAAUUCCCGAUAGGACUGCAGGGUGGUGCCUGUGGUGGAAAACGAUUUUCUAGUGGUUGGGGAUGAGCUCGCGGCCUAUCAGCUUGUUGGUGGGGUAAUGGCCUACCAAGGCGGCGACGGGUAGCCGGCCUGAGAGGGUGGACGGCCACAUUGGGACUGAGAUACGGCCCAGACUCCUACGGGAGGCAGCAGUGGGGAAUAUUGCACAAUGGGCGGAAGCCUGAUGCAGCGACGCCGCGUGGGGGAUGACGGCCUUCGGGUUGUAAACUCCUUUCGGCCGCGAGGAAGCCACCUGGUUGGAAGGGUGGUGACGGUAGUGGUAGAAGAAGCACCGGCUAACUACGUG